CCUACGGGUGGCAGCAGUGAGGAAUAUUGGUCAAUGGACGAGAGUCUGAACCAGCCAAGUAGCGUGAAGGAUGACUGUCCUAUGGGUUGUAAACUUCUUUUAUAUGGGAAUAAAAUGUUCCACGUGUGGGCUUUUGUAUGUACCAUAUGAAUAAGGCUCGGCUAACUCCGUGCCAGCAGCCGCGGUAAUACGGAGGAUCCGAGCGUUAUCCGGAUUUAUUGGGUUUAAAGGGUGCGUAGGCGGAUUUUUAAGUCCGCGGUAAAAUGUCCGGGCUCAACCUCGCUCCGCCGUUGAAACUGGCGUUCUUGAGUGGGCGAGAAGUAUGCGGAAUGCGUGGUGUAGCGGUGAAAUGCAUAGAUAUCACGCAGAACUCCGAUUGCGAAGGCAGCAUACCGGCGCCCAACUGACGCUGAAGCACGAAAGCGUGGGUAUCGAACAGGAUUAGAUACCCCAGUAGUC
This 459-nucleotide ribosomal RNA is filed under the name uncultured bacterium. Its description in RNAcentral is "partial 16S ribosomal RNA". It matches the Rfam family "Bacterial small subunit ribosomal RNA", at positions 338 to 795 of the family's 1533-position model. The record is from RNAcentral.